Long non-coding RNA from Coregonus clupeaformis (lake whitefish), 809 nucleotides. RefSeq lists it as uncharacterized. Lineage: Eukaryota; Metazoa; Chordata; Actinopteri; Salmoniformes; Salmonidae. The transcript has 4 exons. The record is from RefSeq and is a predicted model, not a curated record.
CAGUUGAGAGAGAGAAACUUGUCGGCGGUGAUCCUGUUACCUGCUUGCCUCCAUUUUGUGUUGGACGGCCCAUUUCCGGGUUUCCGAGAAGCGACAGAAACAGUUGUGAAGCGAGUCUCGCUUUGCUUACAAGAGCGGAAUAAAAAGUACAUGACAAUAGGAUAUAAACUGGAGAUACGCGUACCUCGAAUUAGCUCUUGCACCUAAAUAGAACUUGUUUAGCGCCAUAGUUCAGACGCCAGCUAAAUUACACUGGACCGCUGACAGCUGGCGCGAGUAAACAGUAACUUGGCUAGUAAGCUAACUUUGGGUUUCAGAUUUUGUUGAUGUCGCUAGCAAGCUAACUUAGAUGCUAGUGCCCCCCAGUUUUUAUUAGAUUUUCUAUGCAAGUAACCGAGAGCCGCCUACUGCCUGGGAUUGUGUUAGCUAGCAAACUUGCCACAACUGCAGUUUCCAUUCAUGUUGUUAUUGAAGACAAGACUCGCAAUCCUUCGAGACAGGGUGUUUGAGGCUGUACCCAGAGCUGAGACGGUGAACUAACCCCCUCCCCAAGGUGCCCACAGAGGGACAGGAUGCCCAUUCCUCCUCCUCCCCCUCCUCCCCCAGGACCCCCUCCUCCCCCCACCUUCAACCAGGCGAACACUACAGCACCUAAGUUGAAUCGGGAUGGCGCGAAGGGGAGAGGAGCGUUGCUCUCUGAUAUCUCCAAAGGAGCCAGGCUGAAGAAGGUUGGAGUGGUCAAUGACCGAAGUGCACCUAUUAUAGAGAAACCAAAGGAAAGUGGUGGAGGAGGUGGUGGGUGGUGGAGG